RNAcentral lists this ribosomal RNA (254 nucleotides) under uncultured bacterium. RNAcentral describes it as "partial 16S ribosomal RNA". It matches the Rfam family "Bacterial small subunit ribosomal RNA", at positions 524 to 776 of the family's 1533-position model. The record is from RNAcentral.
CACGUAGGGGGCAAGCGUUGUCCGGAUUUAUUGGGCGUAAAGAGCUCGUAGGCGGUUCGGUAAGUCGGGUGUGAAACCUCCAGGCUCAACCUGGAGACGCCACCCGAUACUGCUGUGACUAGAGUCCGGUAGGGGAGCGUGGAAUUCCUGGUGUAGCGGUGAAAUGCGCAGAUAUCAGGAGGAACACCGGUGGCGAAGGCGGGUCUCUGGGCCGAAACUGACGCUGAGGAGCGAAAGCGUGGGGAGCAAACAGG